This 27-nucleotide small RNA is filed under the name Bombyx mori (domestic silkworm). Its description in RNAcentral is "ovarian small RNA-20355". Lineage: Eukaryota; Metazoa; Arthropoda; Insecta; Lepidoptera; Bombycidae. The record is from RNAcentral.
UACAUAACAGCCCGCAGUGAGUUGUGA